Molecule: unclassified non-coding RNA, 252 nt
Filed under: Hevea brasiliensis (rubber tree)
Lineage: Eukaryota; Viridiplantae; Streptophyta; Magnoliopsida; Malpighiales; Euphorbiaceae
Source: RNAcentral
CCUUGCCAAGAACGUGGCCUGGGCCGCCCAGACACAAGUCAAUCACUGGAUGACUGUUUUGGCCGAGUGGAAGUCCAUGUUGGGCCCAGACUGGGACAAGGCGUACGCUGCGAGCAACACCAUUUACGUCGCNUCAGAACAAUGUUCUUUUUAGCGUAUUGGCUCAAUUCUUUCCGCCUGAGGCGAUCAAUGAUCGCUUGUUGCUGAUUGAAACGGUUUCUUCCACCACCACUCAAGCUGAUAUGCUGGAUG